UUGAUAGUACCUUACUACUUGGAUAACCGUGGUAAUUCUAGAGCUAAUACAUGCUGAAAACCCCGACUUCGGAAGGGGUGUAUUUAUUAGAUAAAAAACCAACGCCCUUCGGGGCUUCUUGGUGAUUCAUAAUAACUUUACGGAUCGCAUGGCCCUUGCGCCGGCGACGGUUCAUUCAAAUUUCUGCCCUAUCAACUUUCGAUGGUAAGGUAUUGGCUUACCAUGGUUUCAACGGGUAACGGGGAAUUAGGGUUCGAUUCCGGAGAGGGAGCCUGAGAAACGGCUACCACAUCCAAGGAAGGCAGCAGGCGCGCAAAUUACCCAAUCCCGACACGGGGAGGUAGUGACAAUAAAUACUGAUACAGGGCUCUUUUGGGUCUUGUAAUUGGAAUGAGUACAAUUUAAACCUCUUAACGAGGAACAAUUGGAGGGCAAGUCUGGUGCCAGCAGCCGCGGUAAUUCCAGCUCCAAUAGCGUAUAUUAAAGUUGUUGCAGUUAAAAAGCUCGUAGUUGAAACUUGGGUCUGGCUGGCAGGUCCGCCUCACCGCGUGUACUUGUCCGGCCGGGCCUUCCUUCUGGAGAACCUCAUGCCCUUCACUGGGCGUGUUGGGGACCAGGACUUUUACUUUGAAAAAAUUAGAGUGUUCAAAGCAGGCCUUUGCUCGAAUACGUUAGCAUGGAAUAAUAGAAUAGGACGUGCGUUCCUAUUUUGUUGGUUUCUAGGAACGCCGUAAUGAUUAAUAGGGACAGUCGGGGGCAUCAGUAUUCAAUUGUCAGAGGUGAAAUUCUUGGAUUUAUUGAAGACUAACUACUGCGAAAGCAUUUGCCAAGGAUGUUUUCAUUAAUCAGUGAACGAAAGUUAGGGGAUCGAAGACGAUCAGAUACCGUCGUAGUCUUAACCGUAAACUAUGCCGACUAGGGAUCGGGCGAUGUUCUUUUUCUGACUCGCUCGGCACCUUACGAGAAAUCAAA
This 972-nucleotide ribosomal RNA is filed under the name Neocamarosporium artemisiae. Its description in RNAcentral is "SSU rRNA". It matches the Rfam family "Eukaryotic small subunit ribosomal RNA", at positions 121 to 1102 of the family's 1831-position model. Lineage: Eukaryota; Fungi; Ascomycota; Dothideomycetes; Neocamarosporiaceae. The record is from RNAcentral.